CCAGCUGCCAAAUUGUGCAAGUUGCUCUUCCUGGGCUACCGCUUGAGUAGCCACAUUAAAAGGCCUGUGCUUGCCCCUGACUGAUGAGCACUCACAAUUUGGGAUCACCUUUCAGUCUGCAGAAGCUGAAUGGUUUUAAUCUUUCUGAAAAAGUCAGCUCAGCCAUUUUAACCUGUAUUUGUAGGCUCUGCUUUUGUGAAGAGAAGGUGUCACAGAUUCAUAUCUGUUUGCUAAGCAGGUUUGCUUGCUGCUCCUAAUCUUCCUUGUCUCUCUUGCAUUUUGAGAUAAACUAGCCAUGGGAAGUUAGACCAGACAAAAACAUUGUAUAGGGUUUCAUGUUCAGUGUCAGAGUACAGCUGUUAGUGGUGGACAUGCUCAAAGGCAUUGUGCAAAAGGACAACUCAAAGAAUUUCAUCAGCAGUGCAGACUGUUUUCUUUGGCCUUCAGAUUCCUCCCUGAUUUUAAGUACAGUUAAAAUGUGUGCUGCUUUCUCUGCUAUGAAGUCUUCUUUCUCACGUUAUUUCCUUCAACUUUGAAGACACAGACUGAAAAAGAAGGCUGAAAUAAAGAAAAAGUUACAGGAAAAUAAUCACAACCCCAUUUAUGCAAUUACUUGUGUUGCUGUCUUUAAGACCACCAGAGGUGUGGCUGGCCACAUUGGGACACCUUUGGGCUGAGCACCAAGCCAUUGUGUUCUGAAGUAAGACCUUCAACGUCUGACAUACAGCACCAGCUCUGCACAUACCACCAGCUGGAAGAAAGCCCUGCUCCUCUCUUUGGCCUUGCAAAGUAAUGCUGAGUCUGUGCAGGUAAACAGGUUGUCAUCACCAGUGCCCCUGGUCAAAGCGGUCUACACCCACCUACCUGCAGGGGGGUCACGUCAGUACUUUCUCUGUAUGCUAAGCUGCUGCUGCUGUUCCUGUGAAAGCUCUGCCCAAGCACCGCCAACGUGCUGCCCUGUCCUUAGGGAGCUCUAGGCCGCCCCAUUGGGAUAGGCACUGCCAGCUGCUGCAUGGGACUCACACAGCAGCCCACCCAGCUCUGCAUUGGCUGGGGCUGGUCUUCCUUGCACUGUGUUGGCAGGUUGAGCAGUGAGGGGCAGGUUGCCCGGACCAGCCCAAAGGUACAGUGUCAACAGGCAGUUCAUGACUGCUGAAGGCUGUGCUUUUCACUGCCCAUCUCAUCUGGGAUGAUCUUUUUGACUUCUGGGCUGCAUUUUCCUCAUCUGUUGCUGGGAACAUGCAGGCCUACACUUGCUGUGGGUUGGUGAUGCAUUUAAAAGCAAUCUGGGUCUCUGCUUCCUGUACAAUAUUUUGGCCUACUCAGGCUGACCUUAGUAGAUCUGUUCUGCAGGCAUUGUGUAUGUGUGUUGUGUUUGUGUGAUGCCCCAUGGACUGGCCAUCCCUGGUUUGGCUAUGAAGGAUGAGGAAAACUUGCAAAGGACCUAAAUUUUCUAUCAAAUUGGAAAAGGGGCAGAAGGAGUGAGAGAGAGAAGCCAGUGAAAAGAUGUUUCAGCUGUAUGCAACCCGCUGGCUCUGCUGAGUUUUAAGUAGUGAGGGGAGAAAGCCUCUGACAUUUAAAAAAACGUAGAUGGCAUCCAUGUGGCAAAAAAUAGGGCAGUUGAAUUAUCAGUAUAUGAUGAGAAUAUAAAAAAAGUAAUUAUUGUGUAGUUCUAUAAAUGAAAUUGCACUGCAGCACAAAAGAAAAAGAAAUAAAAGUCACAAAUAAAGGCCAGUGAGUUACUUCAGUGGAAAAAAAAAUCUUCUAUUAUAUGAAUAGCAAUAUCAUCUUGUUAGCUUAGCAGAGGGCUCUGGACACUUAAGGAAAUUCUAAACAUUUCCAUAUAUUCUAGUCCAGGAUGGAAUUAAACUGUUGAAAAGCUUCCCUGGAAGCCAACGUUUAUCUAAUAUGUAAGCAUAUUUAGAUUUCAUUUUGAAAUGGUUGUUAAAUGCUAUCCUUUGGCUGCACUCUAUCCUUCUUCUUCUUCUUUUUUUUUUUUUUUUUAAAUAUUGAACUCUGAGAUUUUGAUGCAUUAAAAAAUGUGCUUUCAGGACUUGAAAUGCCUGAAUGACCAGUUACAGCAUGUACUAACCCUGAGAGAUAUCCAUUGAGUCUGCUCUCCUCCUUCAAUUUGCUGGCUGUUUUUCCAGUCAUGCCUUGCAUUAAUGUUCUACACUUAGCUAAACUGUGUGUUAUAUUUUAGAUCUAUUUUUGUUUUGUCUAAAAAAUUUCCAAAUUGACAUUAAGUAUUCAAGAUGUAAUCUCUGUAGCAGGAAACUAGUUAUCAGAUUCAUACAAAACAACUGGGCAAUAGAAAUAACUCUGAGCAGAAUGCAUUUUUUCCUAGAAUUAAUUUAGAGGGAAUGUAAUGGCUGUGAAAGGUGCUGGAUUGCAACAUCAGAGAACCGAAGCUACUAUUUAACCACAGAACGGUUACAGGAUGGGAGAUGGCUUUACAAGAUUCGCAAUGAGGUUUGACAAAAUAAUUGUCUCAGGUUUGGUGCCUUUCAUCUCACUGGAACAGGCAGUCUUUCAUGUGGCACUCAUAGUCACUCUCGGGUUGCUGGUUUCUGCUGGGGUGGUGGAGGAACCCUUCUGUAAAAACAGCGUGAUUUUGCUGUGGGGAUUGCUGGCUAACAUUUGCAGUGUGGGUGGACACUGUGACCUGCACCCCAGUGCACAUUCUGCUACAACCUUUGUCAUGUCCCCAGGUACCACAGGCAUAGCAGUGGGCCCAAGCUUUGCAUCUUUUGCUCUCUGAGGCCACCUGUUUCUUGGAGGAAGGAGUGGAGAGUGUACAUGAGGUGCUACUGUUGAAGCUACACCAAGAUCAGGGACCAUAUUUUUUUUGACAGAUAGUUAUCUCUGAAGGCCAUGUAUGAUCCAAAUGGUUUGAGCCUCAGUUCUUGGUAGUCAGAUAGUCAGACAAGUAUUUAUCAAAAAGUGGGCAAUAUGUUGUAUUCUAACUGGUAGCCUUGCCAGCAGCAAGGUUUUGAUACACGUUAAGCUUCAAUUUAUAUUUGCCACUUGGUUCAGUUGAUAUUUUUGGUGUUGAUGUUUUUUUACUGACUUCAUGAGGAGUGGGAGAGCCCUCAGAAUAAUUUUUACUAACUUCUCUCAAAGGGAGAGACUUUCAUGUCGCAGUGUGCCUCCCCAUGAGCUCACCAAAAAAGCAAAACCAUCCUUGGGGUGCUUGAUGUAUGCAAAAAACAGGGUGGGGGGUGGCAGGGUAUGCUAUCCAGUAGGCCCUCUGCCAUGGGGAGGCCGGCAGAAGCACAGUUGACAGGCCGGUUACCUCAAUGCAAAGCUGACUCGUGCACUAACCCACUAGGAACCAGUUAAAAGCUUUCCUCCAAAGCUACAUUCUUCUGCUUGUUGCGGUAUGUUGGAUAGGAGGCUGCAUUCCCUUACACUGGAAUUUCCUGUAUUAGCACUGCACAGGAGUGGAUUUAUUUUGUAGUCCUUGAGAUUUGAGUUUCAUGGAUUUUACAGCCUAUAUGUGCCACAAAACAAAGAUUUGGUUUCUACGGAGGCUUUGCAGAAAGGAUUACCAUCUGCUGACUUUUUGGUCUACCAAAGACUGAUGCUCUUCAAGACUACAGGUGACCCUGACCAGGAUUAUCUUACUGAAGAACUCAAAUUUAAAUAUCAUAAGAAAGGACAAAUUUGGAGUGAAAACUCAAACAGUGCUCGAGUUACAAGUGAGCAAAAUGCACUGUAUUUUGAGACUCUGUCCCUCUGCUUUAUAUCAUGUGCAAAAUACUGUGUCUAAACAGGUGGACUGCAUACAGGUAAGA
Coturnix japonica (Japanese quail) is the source of this 3797-nucleotide non-coding RNA. The record is from RefSeq and is a predicted model, not a curated record. Lineage: Eukaryota; Metazoa; Chordata; Aves; Galliformes; Phasianidae.